AAGAGUUUAGUUUAUUAAAACAUUAAUUUGUCAGAUUAAAAAUGCUUAAAAGUAUCUCUUU
RNAcentral lists this transfer RNA (61 nucleotides) under Jacobiasca formosana. RNAcentral's name for it is "tRNA-Asp". The record is from RNAcentral. Lineage: Eukaryota; Metazoa; Arthropoda; Insecta; Hemiptera; Cicadellidae.